GUCGAACGGAAUUCUUAUAUGUUUCCUUGUUCUCGAAUUCUUUGCGGAUUAGAGCUACGGAACAAUAAGUAUUUAGUGGCGGACGGGUGAGUAACACGUUGGUACCUACCCCUUAGUGGGGAAUAACUUCGAGAAAUCGAGGCUAAUACCGCAUAAUAUCUACGGAUUAAAGCAUUUAUGCGCUAAGGGAGGGGCCUGCGUCUGAUUAGCUAGUUGGUGAGGUAAAAGCUCACCAAGGCGACGAUCAGUAGCUGGAUCGAGAGGUUGACCAGCCACACUGGGACUGAGAUACGGCCCAGACUCCGUACGGGAGGCAGCAGUGAGGAAUCUUCCACAUGGACGAAAGUCUGAUGGAGCAAUGCCGCGUGCAGGAUGACGGCCUUCGGGUUGUAAACUGCUUUUAUAUGGGAAGAUUAUGACGGUACCAUAUGAAUAAGGACCGGCUAACUACGUG
RNAcentral lists this ribosomal RNA (454 nucleotides) under uncultured bacterium. RNAcentral's name for it is "bacterial SSU rRNA". It matches the Rfam family "Bacterial small subunit ribosomal RNA", at positions 61 to 507 of the family's 1533-position model. The record is from RNAcentral.